AACGAACGCUGGCGGCAUGCCUAACACAUGCAAGUCGAACGAGACCUUCGGGUCUAGUGGCGCACGGGUGCGUAACGCGUGGGAAUCUGCCCUUGGGUUCGGAAUAACUCAGAGGAAUUUGAGCUAAUACCGGAUGAUGACGAAAGUCCAAAGAUUUAUCGCCCAAGGAUGAGCCCGCGUAAGAUUAGCUUGUUGGUGGGGUAAUGGCCCACCAAGGCGACGAUCUUUAGCUGGUCUGAGAGGAUGAUCA
Molecule: ribosomal RNA, 250 nt
Filed under: uncultured bacterium
Lineage: Bacteria
Description: partial 16S ribosomal RNA
Rfam family: Bacterial small subunit ribosomal RNA
Source: RNAcentral